UUCCGGUUGAUCCUGCCGGAGACUACUGCUAUCAGAGUCCGACUAAGACAUGCAAGAUGAGUGGGUUUAGACCCACAUCGGAAGGCUCAGUAACACGUAGUUAAUCUAACCUCAGGUCAGGCAUAAUCCCGGGAAACUGGGCGGAAUACCUGAUAGGGAAAGGGUACUGGAACCGUCCCUUUCUUCAAAGUUCCGACGCCUGAGGAUGAGACUGCGGCGGAUUAGGUAGUUGCGGGUGUAACGUACCUGCAAGCCGAUAAUCCGUACGGGCGUUGAGAGACGUAGCCCGGAGAUGUGUUCUGAGACAAAAACACAGGCCCUACGGGGCGCAGCAGUUACGAAACCUUUACAAUGCGCGAAAGCGUGAUAGGGGGACUCUGAGUGCCAUAGCACUGCUAUGGCUUUUCUGAAGUCAAAAUAGCUUCAGGAAUAAGGGGUGGGCAAGACGGGUGCCAGCCGCCACGGUAAUACCCGCGCCCCAAGCGGUAGUCACGUUUAUUGGGCCUAAAGCGUCCGUAGCUGGUCUGAAAAGUCCCUGAUCAAAUCCUCCGUAGACCGGAGGCUCAUCAGGGAAACUCUCAGACUAGGGACCGGGAAAGGCAGAGGGUACUCCAGGGGUAGGGGUAAAAUCCUAUAAUCCUUGGGGGGCCACCUGUGGCGAAGGCGCUCUGCUGGAACGGCUCCGACAGUGAGGGACGAAAGCGUGGGGAGCGACCCGGAUUAGAUACCCGGUUAGUCCACGCCGUAAACGAUGCCCGCUUGGUGUGUCGUUCCUUUCGGGGGAGCGACGUGUCGUAGCGUAGGUGUUAAGCGGGCCGCCUGGGGAGUACGGUCGCAAGACUGAAACUUAAGGGAAUUGGCGGGGGAGCACCUCAAGGGGUGGAUGCUGCGGUUUAAUUGGAUUCAACGCCGGA
Molecule: ribosomal RNA, 914 nt
Filed under: uncultured archaeon
Lineage: Archaea
Description: bacterial SSU rRNA
Rfam family: Archaeal small subunit ribosomal RNA
Source: RNAcentral